GAUGAAGAACGUAGCGAAAUGCGAUAAGUAAUGUGAAUUCAGAAUUCAGUGAAUCAUCGAAUCUUUGAACGCAUCUUGCGCUCCUUGGUAUUCUGAGGAGCAUGCCUGUUUGAGUGUCAUUAAAUUCUCAACUACACUGACUUUGAAUUGGUGUGGCUUGGAUUUGGGGGGAAAAUUGUUGUGGGCUUUUUGUAUAGUCUGCUCCCCUGAAAUUGAUUAGCGGUACCUUUGUGGAACUGUCUACAGGUGUGAUAAUUAUCUACAUCUUAGACAUCUGCUGGAAUGCUGCUUUCUAAACCUUACUUGUAUUGACAAUCUUGACCUCAAAUCAGGUAGGACUACCCGCUGAACUUAAGCAUAUCAAUAAGCGGAGGA
RNAcentral lists this unclassified non-coding RNA (375 nucleotides) under soil metagenome. Its description in RNAcentral is "partial contains 5.8S ribosomal RNA, internal transcribed spacer 2, and large subunit ribosomal RNA". The stretch from base 1 to 119 matches the Rfam family "5.8S ribosomal RNA", at positions 35 to 154 of the family's 154-position model. The record is from RNAcentral.